This is a long non-coding RNA of Leptinotarsa decemlineata (Colorado potato beetle), 369 nucleotides long. Lineage: Eukaryota; Metazoa; Arthropoda; Insecta; Coleoptera; Chrysomelidae. The record is from RefSeq and is a predicted model, not a curated record.
CAAGAAUAUCACGCCCGGAAGAUCAUCAGCAAGUUCGCUUCUUCAUAGAAAAACUCAAACAACACCGCCCCUUCACUGCCAGUGGCGUAUUCACCUUGGAUCUUGGAAUUGCAGGACCGAUUUCCGCCAAUAUAUUGACCUACGUGCUGGUCGCUUUGCAGUUUGAUCUACCAGAAGAGUGAUGUGUUGACUACACAUUCAGGAUUUCUGGCAAUAAACAGUUUGUUUUUCUCAUCAGCCCCACUCAUUUCCUAUCGUGAUGGAUCAAGAAAGUAUAGAGGCGUAGUCUGUCAAGUUGAUUCAUUCCAGUAUCUUUGUAUUUUUUCAAAUGUAAUACUAGUAAUGAAGGUGAAAUAUAUAUUUGAGUUC